GUGAGAAUGCCAGAAUAAUAUGGGAUUGAUUUAGGUUCAUUUUAUGAUGUUAAUCUUCUCACU
Molecule: transfer RNA, 63 nt
Filed under: Dipylidium caninum
Lineage: Eukaryota; Metazoa; Platyhelminthes; Cestoda; Cyclophyllidea; Dipylidiidae
Description: tRNA-Leu
Source: RNAcentral